This 54-nucleotide transfer RNA is filed under the name Trichuris trichiura (human whipworm). Its description in RNAcentral is "tRNA-Cys". The record is from RNAcentral. RNAcentral also lists the same sequence under 1 other name. Lineage: Eukaryota; Metazoa; Nematoda; Enoplea; Trichinellida; Trichuridae.
AGGAGUGUAGUAUUUUAGUACAUAAAAUUGCAAAUUUUAAAGAUAUAUCUCCUU